CUCAGCGGUAGAGCACUCCUAUGGUAAGUGGUAAGGCGUAAGCCCUCGGUUCAAAUCCGACAAGGGACU
This 69-nucleotide transfer RNA is filed under the name Farfugium japonicum. RNAcentral describes it as "tRNA-Thr". The record is from RNAcentral. Lineage: Eukaryota; Viridiplantae; Streptophyta; Magnoliopsida; Asterales; Asteraceae.